ACAGAUGAGCACAAACAUAAUGAACGACGGAAACAAUAAAUCAAAAUGAGUCACUGCAGCGAAAAGUUCUUUUCCUCCAAUUUUUGUAGGUUCUGCAUCUUCAGUUAAUGGCUUUUCUUUC
This 121-nucleotide non-coding RNA is filed under the name Skeletonema dohrnii. The record is from RNAcentral. Lineage: Eukaryota; Bacillariophyta; Thalassiosirophyceae; Thalassiosirales; Thalassiosiraceae.